RNAcentral lists this unclassified non-coding RNA (253 nucleotides) under uncultured Actinomycetes bacterium. RNAcentral's name for it is "uncultured actinobacterium contains 16S-23S intergenic spacer region". It matches the Rfam family "Bacterial small subunit ribosomal RNA", at positions 524 to 776 of the family's 1533-position model. The record is from RNAcentral. Lineage: Bacteria; Bacillati; Actinomycetota; Actinomycetes.
UACGUAGGGUGCAAGCGUUGUCCGGAUUUAUUGGGCGUAAAGAGCUCGUAGGCGGUUAGUCACGUCGGAUGUGAAAACUCAGUGCUUAACACUGAGCCUGCAUUCGAUACGGGCUGACUAGAGUAUUGUAGGGGAGACUGGAACUCCUGGUGUAGCGGUGAAAUGCGCAGAUAUCAGGAAGAACACCGGUGGCGAAGGCGGGUCUCUGGGCAAUUACUGACGCUGAGGAGCGAAAGCGUGGGGAGCAAACAGG